RNAcentral lists this ribosomal RNA (1184 nucleotides) under Arthrobacter pascens. RNAcentral's name for it is "bacterial SSU rRNA". It matches the Rfam family "Bacterial small subunit ribosomal RNA", at positions 155 to 1363 of the family's 1533-position model. Lineage: Bacteria; Bacillati; Actinomycetota; Actinomycetes; Micrococcales; Micrococcaceae. The record is from RNAcentral.
GACUGGGUCUAAUGCCUGAAUUAGAGAUCCUAUUCCAUUGAGGUGAAGCUUAUUGGCCUCCGAUGGACUGCGGCCUUUCAGCUGUUGGUGAGGGUAAUGCUCACCAAGGCGACGACGUUAGGCUACUGAGAAGGGUGACACCCCACUGGAACUGAGACACGGCCCAGACUCCUACGGGAGGCAGCAGUGGGGGAAUAUUGCACCAAUGGCGCAAGCUGAUGCAGCGACGCGCGUGAGGGAUGACGCUUCGGGUUGUAAACCUCUUUCAGUAGGGAAGAAGCGAAAGUGACGGUACUGCAGAAAGAAGCGCCGGCUAACUACGUGCCAGCAGCCGCGGUAAUACGUAGGGCGCAAGCGUUAUCCGGGAAUUAUUGGGCGUAAAGAGCUCGUAGGCGGUUUGUCGCGUCUGCCGUGAAAGUCCGGGGCUCAACUCCGGGAUCUGCGGUGGGUACGGGCAGACUAGAGUGAUGUAGGGGAGACUGGAAUUCCUGGUGUAGCGGUGAAAUGCGCAGAUAUCAGGAGGAACACCGAUGGCGAAGGCAGGUCUCUGGGCAUUAACUGACGCUGAGGAGCGAAAGCAUGGGGAGCGAACAGGAUUAGAUACCCUGGUAGUCCAUGCCGUAAACGUUGGGCACUAGGUGUGGGGGACAUUCCACGUUUUCCGCGCCGUAGCUAACGCAUUAAGUGCCCCGCCUGGGGAGUACGGCCGCAAGGCUAAAACUCAAAGGAAUUGACGGGGGCCCGCACAAGCGGCGGAGCAUGCGGAUUAAUUCGAUGCAACGCGAAGAACCUUACCAAGGCUUGACAUGGGCCGGAUCGCCGCAGAAAUGUGGUUUCCCCUUUGGGGCCGGUUCACAGGUGGUGCAUGGUUGUCGUCAGCUCGUGUCGUGAGAUGUUGGGUUAAGUCCCGCAACGAGCGCAACCCUCGUUCUAUGUUGCCAGCGCGUUAUGGCGGGGACUCAUAGGAGACUGCCGGGGUCAACUCGGAGGAAGGUGGGGACGACGUCAAAUCAUCAUGCCCCUUAUGUCUUGGGCUUCACGCAUGCUACAAUGGCCGGUACAAAGGGUUGCGAUACUGUGAGGUGGAGCUAAUCCCAAAAAGCCGGUCUCAGUUCGGAUUGGGGUCUGCAACUCGACCCCAUGAAGUCGGAGUCGCUAGUAAUCGCAGAUCAGCUCGCGACUGU